This 342-nucleotide ribosomal RNA is filed under the name uncultured bacterium. RNAcentral's name for it is "bacterial SSU rRNA". It matches the Rfam family "Bacterial small subunit ribosomal RNA", at positions 8 to 352 of the family's 1533-position model. The record is from RNAcentral.
AGAGUUUGAUCAUGGCUCAGAUUGAACGCUGGCGGCAGGCCUAACACAUGCAAGUCGAGCGGAUGACGGGAGCUUGCUCCUGGAUUCAGCGGCGGACGGGUGAGUAAUGCCUAGGAAUCUGCCUGGUAGUGGGGGACAACGUUUCGAAAGGAACGCUAAUACCGCAUACGUCCUACGGGAGAAAGCAGGGGACCUUCGGGCCUUGCGCUAUCAGAUGAGCCUAGGUCGGAUUAGCUUGUUGGUGAGGUAAUGGCUCACCAAGGCGACGAUCCGUAACUGGUCUGAGAGGAUGAUCAGUCACACUGGAACUGAGGCACGGUCCAGACUCCUACGGGAGGCAGC